GAUGAAGAACGUAGUGAAAUGCGAUAAGUAAUGUGAAUUGCAGAAUUCAGUGAAUCAUCGAAUCUUUGAACGCACAUUGCGCCCGCCAGUAUUCUGGCGGGCAUGCCUGUUCGAGCGUCAUUUCAACCAUCAAGCCCCCGGGCUUGUGUUGGGGACCUGCGGCUGCCGCAGGCCCUGAAAACCAGUGGCGGGCUCGCUAGUCACUCCGAGCGUAGUAGUUACAUCUCGCUCAGGGCGUGCUGCGGGUUCCGGCCGUUAAAAGCCUUUUACCCCAAGGUUGACCUCGGAUCAGGUAGGAAGACCCGCUGAACUUAAGCAUAUCAAUAAGCGGAGGA
This 335-nucleotide unclassified non-coding RNA is filed under the name soil metagenome. Its description in RNAcentral is "partial contains 5.8S ribosomal RNA, internal transcribed spacer 2, and large subunit ribosomal RNA". The stretch from base 1 to 120 matches the Rfam family "5.8S ribosomal RNA", at positions 35 to 154 of the family's 154-position model. The record is from RNAcentral.